Long non-coding RNA from Pipra filicauda (Wire-tailed manakin), 931 nucleotides. RefSeq lists it as uncharacterized. NCBI's taxonomy places the organism in Eukaryota, Metazoa, Chordata, Aves, Passeriformes, Pipridae. The transcript is spliced from 3 exons. The record is from RefSeq and is a predicted model, not a curated record.
UUUUCCUUUGUUUUUCAUUUUAGGUCUCAUCAGAUGUAUUACAUGUUUGGAUUCCUGUUCCUAGUUUUUAUAAUUCUUCUAAUUACGUGUUCAGAAGCUACAGUUUUGCUGUGCUACUUCCAUCUGUGUGCAGAGGAUUAUCACUGGUGGUGGAGGUCGUUCUUGACCAGCAGCUUUACAGCAGUUUAUCUCUUUAUCUAUGCAGUUCAUUACUUCUUCUCCAAACUCCAGAUAACAGGAACUGCCAGCACCAUUUUAUACUUUGGUUACACAAUGAUCAUGGUCUUGAUUUUUUUCCUUUUCACAGGGACUAUUGGAUUUUUUGCCUGCUUCUGGUUUGUAAGUAAGAUUUACAGUGUUGUGAAAGUGGACUGAAAAGCUUCAAAGUGUCUUUUGAACAUAUCUCCCUUGCUGUUUGAUAAUUUUUACCAUGUAUUGAAAAACAUCCUGUGUAAUUAUUCUAAUUUGCAAAAGCUGAAGACCAGACUACAGCAUAAAAUACGGAUUUUAAUGGAAGGAAAUGGCACCAUUGCCAUUUUGAUAAAAACAAAAAUGUUGGUAUACUCAUUGAACAUGUUCAUUGUAAUAAUUCAGAAAUUAUAUCCAGAAUUUGAUUUAAGACAAAUAAAAAUUCUGUGAACUGGUUUAUCUGAAAAAUGUGUGCAGUCCUCCAGCUGAAUUUUCUUGUGAUUUGGGGGGGGGUUUUGUUACCUCUUUUGGUUACCAUUUAUAUACCAUUAAAGCAUAGGACUGUCAAGUAAAUCUAUAUAAAAUGUGAAUUUUUUUAACUUAACUAUGAUUGUACAUAUUAUCCUGCACCUUCUUUACAACUAGGUAUCUUCUUACAAAUGUACAUGCAUUUAGUUUAAGGUAGACUUUAUUAAAAAUAUCGACACUGGUUUUUGUUCAAAUAAAACUGCACAACUCUGUC